Molecule: long non-coding RNA, 536 nt
Filed under: Sorghum bicolor (sorghum)
Lineage: Eukaryota; Viridiplantae; Streptophyta; Magnoliopsida; Poales; Poaceae
Description: long non-coding RNA (SBIC_LNC015340)
Source: RNAcentral
UGGCCAUCAUUGCAGAUAGAAACAACUACCACUUGCAUUGCAUAAGAUCAGCAAGGUAUAUGUCAUUGGUUCAUUUGGUACUAAGGGGGUGUUUGGCACGACUCCUUGCGAUGGAGGAGCUAGAGCCGUUUUGGACAAUCUCUGCUUUUUACUUGAAAACGACUUCUCCAAAAAAAAGCUUAGCAGGGGCAGAGCCAGAGCUGGAGAGGAGCGUGCCAAACAAGCCUUAAGAUAUACAAGCUUGCAUGUCUUUAAGAUAGCAUGUAGCAGCUGCAUACAAAGGCAACCAUGUUAAUAUCUGCGAUGUUUUGGUCAUUGCAAAAUACAUUGAUGCAAGGCGUCCCCAGCUAAGGUACUUACACUAGGAUGCUGCUGAACGUAGAAGAGUAUUGCUAGUUAAAUCUUCAAGUUCAAAUGUGCAAUGCAAGACCGAAUCUGAAGAAACGAGACGUUCGCAGCCAUAACGAGUCAGAGAAGAUGUGCCUGCAAUACUUUACCUACGAACAAGCAGACAAAUGUUUCCAACAAGAAGGCAG